Molecule: unclassified non-coding RNA, 432 nt
Filed under: Hevea brasiliensis (rubber tree)
Lineage: Eukaryota; Viridiplantae; Streptophyta; Magnoliopsida; Malpighiales; Euphorbiaceae
Source: RNAcentral
CCAGAAUUCGGGUACGCGGAAAGAUUUGUAUUAGUACUAUUAAUGCUUUUUUUUUAAUUAAUUUUUCCCCAAAAUUUCUUCGUUUCUCUUGAGAAUAGACCUCCACUACCAUGGUAGUUUCAAAGAUUAUUCACAUGCAAGCAGUCCUUCUGCCAUAAGCGAGUAAAAGAGAGCAAGGGAACUGGGAAAAAACCAAAAGAUCUGAAAGGAGAAAGAAAAGCAGCAGACCCACCUCGCCCCCUUUUGCUGGCUCUCUUCUCUAAAACUCUCAGUCCCUAAAUCUUUUUUUCAAGCCUUUUUUGUCAUCGUAUUUUUGUCUACAGCCAUAAUGAAUGAAUGAAUGAAUCCUAUAUCAAUAUAUGCAUAAAUAAUCAAUGGAGGUUGAUUAUUAAUUAAUUAGUUUGGUUACCUUGAGAAGAGAGUGCCACAGUC